RNAcentral lists this ribosomal RNA (464 nucleotides) under Vreelandella stevensii. RNAcentral describes it as "partial 16S ribosomal RNA". It matches the Rfam family "Bacterial small subunit ribosomal RNA", at positions 338 to 795 of the family's 1533-position model. The record is from RNAcentral. Lineage: Bacteria; Pseudomonadati; Pseudomonadota; Gammaproteobacteria; Oceanospirillales; Halomonadaceae.
CCUACGGAGGCUGCAGUGGGGAAUAUUGGACAAUGGGCGAAAGCCUGAUCCAGCCAUGCCGCGUGUGUGAAGAAGGCCUUCGGGUUGUAAAGCACUUUCAGUGGGGAAGAAAGCCUUGGGGCUAAUACCCUCGAGGAAGGACAUCACCCACAGAAGAAGCACCGGCUAACUCCGUGCCAGCAGCCGCGGUAAUACGGAGGGUGCGAGCGUUAAUCGGAAUUACUGGGCGUAAAGCGCGCGUAGGCGGUCUGAUAAGCCGGUUGUGAAAGCCCCGGGCUCAACCUGGGAACGGCAUCCGGAACUGUCAGGCUAGAGUGCAGGAGAGGAAGGUAGAAUUCCCGGUGUAGCGGUGAAAUGCGUAGAGAUCGGGAGGAAUACCAGUGGCGAAGGCGGCCUUCUGGACUGACACUGACGCUGAGGUGCGAAAGCGUGGGUAGCAAACAGGAUUAGAUACCCCUGUAGUC